UACGAAGGGGGCUAGCGUUGCUCGGAAUUACUGGGCGUAAAGCGCACGUAGGCGGCUUUCUAAGUCGGGGGUGAAAUCCUGGAGCUCAACUCCAGAACUGCCUUCGAUACUGGAGAGCUCGAGUCCGGGAGAGGUGAGUGGAACUGCGAGUGUAGAGGUGAAAUUCGUAGAUAUUGGGAAGAACACCAGUGGCGAAGGCGGCUAACUGGUCCGGUACUGACGCUGAGGUGCGAAAGCGUGGGGAGCAAACGGG
RNAcentral lists this ribosomal RNA (253 nucleotides) under uncultured bacterium. RNAcentral describes it as "partial 16S ribosomal RNA". It matches the Rfam family "Bacterial small subunit ribosomal RNA", at positions 524 to 776 of the family's 1533-position model. The record is from RNAcentral.